This 499-nucleotide ribosomal RNA is filed under the name uncultured Glomus. Its description in RNAcentral is "SSU rRNA". It matches the Rfam family "Eukaryotic small subunit ribosomal RNA", at positions 569 to 1074 of the family's 1831-position model. Lineage: Eukaryota; Fungi; Glomeromycota; Glomeromycetes; Glomerales; Glomeraceae. The record is from RNAcentral.
AGCAGCCGCGGUAAUUCCAGCUCCAAUAGCGUAUAUUAAAGUUGUUGCAGUUAAAAAGCUCGUAGUUGAAUUUCGGGAUUAGUACGUUGGUCGUGCCUUCGGUACGUACUGGUGUUACUGAUUCCUACCUUCUGACGAACCAUCAUGUCAUUAAUUUGGUGUGGCGGGGAAUCAGGACUGUUACUUUGAAAAAUUAGAGUGUUUAAAGCAGGCUCGCGCUUGAAUACAUUAGCAUGGAAUAAUGAAAUAGGACGUUGACCCUAUUUUGUUGGUUUCUAGGAUUGACGUAAUGAUUAAUAGGGAUAGUUGGGGGCAUUAGUAUUCAAUUGUCAGAGGUGAAAUUCUUGGAUUUAUUGAAGACUAACUACUGCGAAAGCAUUUGCCAAGGAUGUUUUCAUUAAUCAAGAACGAAAGUUAGGGGAUCGAAGACGAUCAGAUACCGUCGUAGUCUUAACCAUAAACUAUGCCGACUAGGGAUCGGAUGAUGUUAUUUUUAAUG